UACGGAGGAUCCAAGCGUUAUCCGGAAUUACUGGGCGUAAAGAGUUGCGUAGGUGGCACUGUAAGUCGGUAGUGAAAGCGUGGGGCUCAACCCCAUAUACAUUAUCGAAACUGCAGAGCUAGAGGACGAGAGAGGCAUCUGGAAUUCCUAGUGUAGGAGUGAAAUCCGUAGAUAUUAGGAGGAACACCGAUGGCGUAGGCAGGGUGCUGGCUCGUUCCUGACACUAAGGCACGAAAGCGUGGGGAGCAAACGGGG
RNAcentral lists this ribosomal RNA (255 nucleotides) under uncultured bacterium. RNAcentral describes it as "partial 16S ribosomal RNA". It matches the Rfam family "Bacterial small subunit ribosomal RNA", at positions 524 to 777 of the family's 1533-position model. The record is from RNAcentral.